UACGUAGGUGACAAGCGUUGUCCGGAUUUACUGGGCGUAAAGAGCGCGCAGGCGGUCGAUCAAGUCGAGUGUGAAAGCCCCCGGCUCAACUGGGGAGGGUCAUUCGAUACUGAUCGACUCGAAGGCAGGAGAGGGUAGUGGAAUUCCCGGUGUAGCGGUGAAAUGCGCAGAUAUCGGGAGGAACACCAAUUGCGAAGGCAGCUCGCUGGGACGUCACUGACGCUGAGACGCGAAAGCGUGGGGAGCAAACAGG
RNAcentral lists this ribosomal RNA (253 nucleotides) under uncultured bacterium. Its description in RNAcentral is "partial 16S ribosomal RNA". It matches the Rfam family "Bacterial small subunit ribosomal RNA", at positions 524 to 776 of the family's 1533-position model. The record is from RNAcentral.